CCUGUGACUCCUACGGGAGGCAGCAGUGGGGGAAUAUUGCACAAUGGGCGCAAGCCUGAUGCAGCCAUGCCGCGUGUAUGAAGAAGGCCUUCGGGUUGUAAAGUACUUUCAGCAGUGAGGAAGGCGGGUACGUUAAUAGCGUAUUCGUUUGACGUUAGCUGCAGAAGAAGCACCGGCUAACUCCGUGCCAGCAGCCGCGGUAAUACGGAGGGUGCGAGCGUUAAUCGGAAUUACUGGGCGUAAAGCGCAUGCAGGUGGUUUGUUAAGUCAGAUGUGAAAGCCCCGGGGCUCAACCUCGGAAUUGCAUUUGAAACUGGCAGACUAGAGUACUGUAGAGGGGGUAGAAUUUCAGGUGUAGCGGUGAAAUGCGUAGAGAUCUGAAGGAACACCAGUGGCGAAGGCGACUUUCUGGACUGUAACUGACGCUGAGGCACGAAAGCGUGGGGAGCGAACAGGAUUAGAUACCCUGGUAG
RNAcentral lists this ribosomal RNA (473 nucleotides) under uncultured bacterium. RNAcentral describes it as "bacterial SSU rRNA". It matches the Rfam family "Bacterial small subunit ribosomal RNA", at positions 329 to 793 of the family's 1533-position model. The record is from RNAcentral.